RNAcentral lists this non-coding RNA (792 nucleotides) under Protohermes latus. Lineage: Eukaryota; Metazoa; Arthropoda; Insecta; Megaloptera; Corydalidae. The record is from RNAcentral.
AUAAAGUUUUAUUUUGGCUAAAAAAUUUAUUAUUUUUAUAGUUUAUAUGUAUGUUUUUGCAGGAAUAAUAAAAAUUCUUAAUGAAAAUUUAUUUUAAAUUAUUCGCAGUAUUUAAUAUUAAUCAUUAAAGAAAUUUAGAAUUAGUAAUAAAUAAUAGUAUAGGUUAAUUUUGUGCCAGCAUCCGCGGUUAUACAAAAUAUACAAAUAAAUUUUAUUAUUAUAUAGUUAAUUGUUAAAAUUAUAAAUUGGAUAUUAAAUUUUAAGGUAAAAUUUAAAUUUAAUUAGAAAUUUAUUAAAGAAAAUUUUAUGAAGCUAUUAAAAUUUAAUAAAAAACUAGGAUUAGAUACCCUAUUAUUUAAAAGGUUAAAAAGGUUAAUAUGGUAGUAGUAGUUAGAGUCUUGAAACUAAAAAAAUUUGGCGGUAUUUUAAUCUGUUUAGAGGAAUCUGUCCCAUAAUCGAUAGUCCACGAGAAAUUUUACAUAAUUUUAUUUAAUUUGUAUAUCGUCGUUAUCAGGAAAUUUUAUAAGAAUAUCAAAUUUUCUAAAAUUUUUAAUAGAAUUUAUUUCAGAUCAAGGUGCAAUAGAUAAUUAUGAGGAGAUGGAUUACAAUAAAUUUAUUUAUAAUGAAUAAUGAAUUGAAAAAUUUGUUAGAAGGUGGAUUUAAUAGUAAUUUAAAUAAAAUUAUUUAUUUGAUUAUAGUUCUAAAAUAUGCACAUAUCGCCCGUCGCUCUCUUUUUUAAAAAGAGAUAAGUCGUAACAAAGUAGAUGUACUGGAAAGUGUAUCUAGAAUGAU